Molecule: ribosomal RNA, 119 nt
Organism: Capsicum annuum
Lineage: Eukaryota; Viridiplantae; Streptophyta; Magnoliopsida; Solanales; Solanaceae
Source: RefSeq, a predicted model, not a curated record
GGAUGCGGUCAUACCAGCAUUAACGCAUCGGAUCCCAUCAGAACUUCGAAGUUAAGCGUGCUUGGGCGAGAGUAUUACUAGGAUGGGUGAACUCCUGGGAUGUCCUCGUGUUGCAUUCC